UCCCAGUUCGGAUUGUAGUCUGCAACCCGACUACAUGAAGCUGGAAUCGCUAGUAAUCGCGGAUCAGAAUGCCGCGGUGAAUACGUUCCCGGGUCUUGUACACACCGCCCGUCACACCAUGGGAGUCGGAAAUGCCCGAAGUCUGUGACCCAACCUACGGGAGGGAGCAGCCGAAGGCAGGUCGGAUGACUGGGGUGAAGUCGUAACAAGGUAUC
This 215-nucleotide ribosomal RNA is filed under the name uncultured bacterium. Its description in RNAcentral is "partial 16S ribosomal RNA". It matches the Rfam family "Bacterial small subunit ribosomal RNA", at positions 1286 to 1500 of the family's 1533-position model. The record is from RNAcentral.